AGAUGAAUGGCUGAGUGGUUUAAAGCACCAAUUUUGAAAAUUGGCAUAAGAUUAAAACUUAUCGUGGGUUCGAAUCCUACUUCAUCUA
This 88-nucleotide transfer RNA is filed under the name Gracilariopsis longissima. Its description in RNAcentral is "tRNA-Ser". It matches the Rfam family "tRNA". From Rfam's summary of the family: Transfer RNA (tRNA) molecules are approximately 80 nucleotides in length. Lineage: Eukaryota; Rhodophyta; Florideophyceae; Gracilariales; Gracilariaceae. The record is from RNAcentral.